CACGGAAUUAGCCGGUCCUUAUUCAUGCGGUACCUGCAAACAUCCACACGUGGACACCUUUAUCCCCGCAUAAAAGAGGUUUACAACCCAUAGGGCAGCCUUCCCUCACGCUACUUGGCUGGUUCAGCCUUACGGCCAUUGACCAAUAUUCCUCACUGCUGCCUCCCGUAGGAGUCUGGACCGUGUCUCAGUUCCAGUGUGGGGGACCUUCCUCUCAGAACCCCUACCGAUCGAUGCCUUGGUGGCCGUUACCCCGCCAACAAGCUAAUCGGACGCAUCCCCAUCCUUUACCGAUAAAUCUUUGCUCCGACACAGAUGUCCGGGACGGAGAACAUGGGGGAUUAAUCCCGCCGUUUCGACGGCUGGACCCCCAGUAAAGGGAGGUUGGAUACGCGUUACUCACCGUGCGCCGGUCGCCAUCGGCCCAUCCCCGAAAGACUACGGCCAGUCGCUCGCCCCCUCGACUUG
Molecule: ribosomal RNA, 468 nt
Filed under: uncultured Prevotellaceae bacterium
Lineage: Bacteria; Pseudomonadati; Bacteroidota; Bacteroidia; Bacteroidales; Prevotellaceae
Description: partial 16S ribosomal RNA
Source: RNAcentral